This is a non-coding RNA of Paramuricea clavata, 1312 nucleotides long. The record is from the annotation of a GenBank genome assembly. Lineage: Eukaryota; Metazoa; Cnidaria; Anthozoa; Malacalcyonacea; Plexauridae.
CGAAGAAAUGUGUAUUUUAUUUUUUUUUUCCAAAUAAUCACCUAUGAAAUUAUACUAAAACAAUUAUUCACCUCAGGCUCGGUGAUUAUCGUGAAUAAAAACCUCGACUUCGUCUCGGUUUUUAUCACCGAUAAUCACCUUGCCUUCGGCGAAUAAUUGUUAAAUAAUAAUGGAUUAGUAAAAUGGUUUUCUAUUAUUCACUCCCACAGAUUAUAUUCACCCCCAGUGCUCUCACUUUUAAGGAAUUAUCCUUAAAAAUAGGAAUUUUGAAGAGUUUUAAGGAUUUUUUUAAGGAAUUUAGGGUUUUUUUAAGGAAUUUCCGAAACAUUUUAUCAGGGGACUAAAAACGUUGGACGGAGGAUAACCACGCCACGCAAAUGAGAUUUAAACUUGAAAGUAGCAACAUUUAUAUGCGCACAUAAUUACAUAUAUUCGUAUGUUCUCUAUGUCAUAAAUGUACAUAUGGCUGUCUUUUCAUUAAAAUUCUCAAAAGUUAAAUGUCAGUAUAUGCUGGAGGUCGGCUAUAUUGCGAGUCCGCGAGUCUGCGAGUUGCGAGUCUGCGAGUUUACGGUGUGGAUUUAUUGCCUCGAAAACGCUCACUUAAGUGUAAUUUUGUGUGCUUUGACGAAUUGAUCUUAUAUUUUAUACUUUGACAGACACAAUCGUUUCGCUUUUCCGAAUUUCUCAAAUUUUGGCGGGAAAAUGACGUCAUCGUUUUGGCGCCAAUAUUUUGUUUAAGUGAUAAGACUUCCUUUGUUAAUUUUUCUAAAAUAAGAGGCUAUAUUAUCUUCUAAACCGAAACAAUAAUUGAAUUAUCUUAAUUCAAUCAAGAGUUAUAAAGGAUGGAAUCAGUUCAGAUUUGGUCUAUUUUGGGCUAUUUUUAGUAACAAAAUGGCCGAAAUCUGAACGUUCCAUCCGUUAUAACUCUUGAUCGAAUAAAGAUAAUUCGAUUAUAUCUUCGGUUUUGAAGUUUACACAACAUAUAACUUUUGAAAAAUUAACUAAGGAAGUCUUAACACUUAAACAAAAUAUUGGCGCCAAAAGGAAGACGUCAUUUUCCCGCCAAAAUUUUAAAAUUCGAAAAGUAAAACGAGAGCAUUUCUUAGAAUGAAAAGAUCUGUUAAAGUAUAAAAUAUAAGACCAGUUUGUCACAAAACACACAAAAUUACACUUAAGUGAGCGUUUUCGACGCAAUAAAUCCCCACCGUAAACUCGCAGACUCGCAUAUUAGACAAACUCUAUAUGCUGUUUCUUCUGAAAUCUACAGAUUUUUUAAGCUCUUCAUGCAGCAACGAUAAAAAAUAGCAUCAUG